GGAUGAAGAACGCAGUGAAAUGCGAUAAUUAAUGUGAAUUGCAGAAUUCAGUGAAUCAUCGAGUCUUUGAACGCACAUUGCGCCCCCUGGUAUUCCGGGGGGCAUGCCUGUCCGAGCGUCAUUGCUGCCCUCAAGCACGGCUUGUGUGUUGGGCUUCCGUCCCUGGCAACGGGGACGGGCCCAAAAGGCAGUGGCGGCACCAUGUCUGGUCCUCGAGCGUAUGGGGCUUUGUCACCCGCUCCCGUAGGUCCAGCUGGCAGCUAGCCUCGCAACCAAUCUUUUUAACCAGGUUGACCUCGGAUCAGGUAGGGAUACCCGCUGAACUUAAGCAUAUCAAUAAGCGGAGGA
This 348-nucleotide unclassified non-coding RNA is filed under the name soil metagenome. Its description in RNAcentral is "partial contains 5.8S ribosomal RNA, internal transcribed spacer 2, and large subunit ribosomal RNA". The stretch from base 2 to 121 matches the Rfam family "5.8S ribosomal RNA", at positions 35 to 154 of the family's 154-position model. The record is from RNAcentral.